This 160-nucleotide ribosomal RNA is filed under the name uncultured bacterium. Its description in RNAcentral is "partial 16S ribosomal RNA". It matches the Rfam family "Bacterial small subunit ribosomal RNA", at positions 1333 to 1500 of the family's 1533-position model. The record is from RNAcentral.
CGCUAGUAAUCGCGCAUCAGCCACGGCGCGGUGAAUACGUUCCCGGGCCUUGUACACACCGCCCGUCAAGCCAUGGGAGCCGGGGGUACCUGAAGUGCGUAACCGCGAGGAGCGCCCUAGGGUAAAACUGGUGACUGGGGCUAAGUCGUAACAAGGUACC